This 346-nucleotide ribosomal RNA is filed under the name uncultured bacterium. RNAcentral describes it as "partial 16S ribosomal RNA". It matches the Rfam family "Bacterial small subunit ribosomal RNA", at positions 338 to 681 of the family's 1533-position model. The record is from RNAcentral.
CCUACGGGAGGCAGCAGUGAGGAAUAUUGGUCAAUGGGCGCGAGCCUGAACCAGCCAAGUAGCGUGAAGGAUGACUGCCCUACGGGUUGUAAACUUCUUUUAUAAAGGAAUAAAGUGAGGCACGUGUGCCUUUUUGUAUGUACGUUAUGAAUAAGGAUCGGCUAACUCCGUACCAGCAGCCGCGGUAAUACGGAGGAUCCGAGCGUUCUCCGGAUUUAUUGGGUUUAAAGGGAGCGUAGAGGGGUUGUUAAGUCCGUUGUGAAAGUUUGCGGCUCAACCGUAAAAUUGCAAUUGUUACUGGCAGUCUUGCGUACAGUUGCGGUCGGCGGAAUUCGUGUUGUAGCGG